AUACUUACCUGGACGGGGUUAACGGGCGAUCAAGAAGGCUUGUGGCCUAGAUCAAUGGCUCACACUGCACUUGGUGAGUGUGUUGGUCUAACAUCUCCCCAAGCGGGAGAAUGGACGUCGUAAUUUAUGGUAGAGGGGGUACGCGUUCGCGCGGCCCCUAC
Molecule: small nuclear RNA, 161 nt
Filed under: Triticum aestivum (bread wheat)
Lineage: Eukaryota; Viridiplantae; Streptophyta; Magnoliopsida; Poales; Poaceae
Also listed under: 1 other name
Description: snRNA U1
Rfam family: U1 spliceosomal RNA
About the family: U1 is a small nuclear RNA (snRNA) component of the spliceosome (involved in pre-mRNA splicing). Its 5' end forms complementary base pairs with the 5' splice junction, thus defining the 5' donor site of an intron.
Source: RNAcentral